RNAcentral lists this ribosomal RNA (1372 nucleotides) under uncultured bacterium. RNAcentral describes it as "bacterial SSU rRNA". It matches the Rfam family "Bacterial small subunit ribosomal RNA", at positions 28 to 1381 of the family's 1533-position model. The record is from RNAcentral.
GAUGAACGCUGGCGGCGUGCCUAAUACAUGCAAGUCGAGCGAACGGACGAGAAGCUUGCUUCUCUGAUGUUAGCGGCGGACGGGUGAGUAACACGUGGAUAACCUACCUAUAAGACUGGGAUAACUUCGGGAAACCGGAGCUAAUACCGGAUAAUAUUUUGAACCGCAUGGUUCAAAAGUGAAAGACGGUCUUGCUGUCACUUAUAGAUGGAUCCGCGCUGCAUUAGCUAGUUGGUAAGGUAACGGCUUACCAAGGCAACGAUGCAUAGCCGACCUGAGAGGGUGAUCGGCCACACUGGAACUGAGACACGGUCCAGACUCCUACGGGAGGCAGCAGUAGGGAAUCUUCCGCAAUGGGCGAAAGCCUGACGGAGCAACGCCGCGUGAGUGAUGAAGGUCUUCGGAUCGUAAAACUCUGUUAUUAGGGAAGAACGUAUGUGUAAGUAACUGUGCACAUCUUGACGGUACCUAAUCAGAAAGCCACGGCUAACUACGUGCCAGCAGCCGCGGUAAUACGUAGGUGGCAAGCGUUAUCCGGAAUUAUUGGGCGUAAAGCGCGCGUAGGCGGUUUUUUAAGUCUGAUGUGAAAGCCCACGGCUCAACCGUGGAGGGUCAUUGGAAACUGGAAAACUUGAGUGCAGAAGAGGAAAGUGGAAUUCCAUGUGUAGCGGUGAAAUGCGCAGAGAUAUGGAGGAACACCAGUGGCGAAGGCGACUUUCUGGUCUGUAACUGACGCUGAUGUGCGAAAGCGUGGGGAUCAAACAGGAUUAGAUACCCUGGUAGUCCACGCCGUAAACGAUGAGUGCUAAGUGUUAGGGGGUUUCCGCCCCUUAGUGCUGCAGCUAACGCAUUAAGCACUCCGCCUGGGGAGUACGACCGCAAGGUUGAAACUCAAAGGAAUUGACGGGGACCCGCACAAGCGGUGGAGCAUGUGGUUUAAUUCGAAGCAACGCGAAGAACCUUACCAAAUCUUGACAUCCUUUGACAACUCUAGAGAUAGAGCUUUCCCCUUCGGGGGACAAAGUGACAGGUGGUGCAUGGUUGUCGUCAGCUCGUGUCGUGAGAUGUUGGGUUAAGUCCCGCAACGAGCGCAACCCUUAAGCUUAGUUGCCAUCAUUAAGUUGGGCACUCUAAGUUGACUGCCGGUGACAAACCGGAGGAAGGUGGGGAUGACGUCAAAUCAUCAUGCCCCUUAUGAUUUGGGCUACACACGUGCUACAAUGGACAAUACAAAGGGCAGCGAAACCGCGAGGUCAAGCAAAUCCCAUAAAGUUGUUCUCAGUUCGGAUUGUAGUCUGCAACUCGACUACAUGAAGCUGGAAUCGCUAGUAAUCGUAGAUCAGCAUGCUACGGUGAAUACGUUCCCGGGUCU